GACGAACGCUGGCGGCGUGCUUAACACAUGCAAGUCGAACGGAAAGGCCCUGCUUUUGUGGGGUGCUCGAGUGGCGAACGGGUGAGUAACACGUGAGUAACCUGCCCUUGACUUUGGGAUAACUUCAGGAAACUGGGGCUAAUACCGGAUAGGAGCUCCUGCUGCAUGGUGGGGGUUGGAAAGUUUCGGCGGUUGGGGAUGGACUCGCGGCUUAUCAGCUUGUUGGUGGGGUAGUGGCUUACCAAGGCGUUGACGGGUAGCCGGCCUGAGAGGGUGACCGGCCACAUUGGGACUGAGAUACGGCCCAGACUCAUACGGGAGGAAGCAGUGAGGAAUAUUGCACAAUGGGCGGAAGCCUGAUGCAGCAACGCCGCGUGCGGGAUGACGGCCUUCGGGUUGUAAACCGCUUUCGCCUGUGACGAAGCGUGAGUGACGGUAAUGGGUAAAGAAGCACCGGCUAACUACGUG
RNAcentral lists this ribosomal RNA (468 nucleotides) under uncultured bacterium. RNAcentral describes it as "partial 16S ribosomal RNA". It matches the Rfam family "Bacterial small subunit ribosomal RNA", at positions 28 to 507 of the family's 1533-position model. The record is from RNAcentral.